Molecule: ribosomal RNA, 468 nt
Filed under: uncultured bacterium
Lineage: Bacteria
Description: partial 16S ribosomal RNA
Rfam family: Bacterial small subunit ribosomal RNA
Source: RNAcentral
GACGAACGCUGGCGGCGUGCUUAACAUAUGCAAGUCGAACGGAAAGGCCCUGCUUUUGUGGGGUGCUCGAGUGGCGAACGGGUGAGUAACACGUGAGUAACCUGCCCUUGACUUUGGGAUAACUUCAGGAAACUGGGGCUAAUACCGGAUAGGAGCUCCUGCUGCAUGGUGGGGGUUGGAAAGUUUCGGCGGUUGGGGAUGGACUCGCGGCUUAUCAGCUUGUUGGUGGGGUAGUGGCUUACCAAGGCUUUGACGGGUAGCCGGCCUGAGAGGGUGACCGGCCACAUUGGGACUGAGAUACGGCCCAGACUCCUACGGGAGGCAGCAGUGGGGAAUUUUGCACAAUGGGCGGAAGCCUGAUGCAGCAACGCCGCGUGCGGGAUGACGGCCUUCGGGUUGUAAACCGCUUUCGCCUGUGACGAAGCGUGAGUGACGGUAAUGGGUAAAGAAGCACCGGCUAACUACGUG